Long non-coding RNA from Bombina bombina (fire-bellied toad), 487 nucleotides. RefSeq lists it as uncharacterized. The transcript has 2 exons. The record is from RefSeq and is a predicted model, not a curated record. NCBI's taxonomy places the organism in Eukaryota, Metazoa, Chordata, Amphibia, Anura, Bombinatoridae.
CAAACAUUGUAACAUUUAUCAUUUCAGAUAAUCCUUUUGAUUGAACUUUUUUUGAGAAACUGUACAAAUUAAUAGAGGAAGAGCAACCUUUUUUUAUAAGGCACAAGGGUCUGCUGAGAAAGAUUUUGGGAAAAAGGAUGAGUCCCUGGAUGUUCAAGCUGAGCCUACAAAAUCUGAUCAAGUUUUACAGCUAUGCGAGAAAUAUUUGUUGAGAACAUGUACCUCUUAAGGAAAUGUGUGUAUAAUAAUUUCAAAAGAAUCCUUAAAAAUCAAAGCAGGCAAAUUUAGUUACUUCAACUUGUAUCAGAUAAUGGGUAAUCCUUCAGGACACUGAUUAAAAAAGGAUCCUUAUGGUUGACUUGCAGUAGAUUUAUUCCUUUUAGAAAAUGUAAAUCAUGACGUGUUUAUGUAGAUUUAUGUUUCUUCUUUUAUAAACAAUAUUUUUGUCAUACUUCAAGCACUUUAGUAAAAGAAUUAAUCAUGCUUU